Molecule: long non-coding RNA, 964 nt
Filed under: Ricinus communis (castor bean)
Lineage: Eukaryota; Viridiplantae; Streptophyta; Magnoliopsida; Malpighiales; Euphorbiaceae
Description: long non-coding RNA (RCOM_LNC002300)
Source: RNAcentral
UAUUAUGUGCUUACCUUCUUCCUAUAUAUGUCUGGCCCGACGGCCAAGACUAUAUAUAUCAACUUUCUUAUCUUAAAUCCAUAACUUCUAUUUUCAAAAUCCAAUCCAUCCCCUUCAAACAAUGCCAUUAGCAUAACCCAUGGAUUUUGAAAACCGAAGCAGAACAAUUUCAAGAGUCUCAAGCAAAUAUUUCUAGCUCUUCCUUUCCCACUCGGACUCUAAAAUCCUUUCUCUCCAACUUCCUCCUCCAAAUCGUAGUCUUUUCCUUGAUUUUGAUGAUAAAAUCCCGUUCAAAAUUACUAGUACACCUCAAAAUCUAUUUUCCUCACCAUCAAAUUCACAAAAAUCAAAUUAUAUCUUUUUCCUUUUCUCCCUCACUGCCAUUUUCUUUUUCUUCUUCCCUCAUUGGCAAUGGCACCUCACCACAACUUCCUUGCACCGCCAGCAGUCCUCUCUCCACGCUGUUGCUAUCUUCACCGUUGAAGGAGACCCAACCACUGCAUGUUGUCACUAUUCUUUCGCGGCUCACUCGAAGCCGGUGUUCUCUCCUUGUCCAACGACAGCACUAGUGGUACUGCCUUACACGAUUGGGCUGCUCUUUCUUGAUGGUCUUAGACCAAACCGAGAGCCACUUGAUUCAGUUCAAUCGAACCGGUUUCCCCUAUGCAUGACUCUUUUACUGAUUUGUGGGACUCCAUUCGUGUAAAAUCUCGUCCUUGGUAUUGGGAGGUAUACCCACCACCUGAAAAAUAAUUUUGGCUAUAUCAAAAAAGACUACCCUAAAAUGUAUGCUUUUCACACAUAAAAUUAAUUUUUUUUUUCAUGUGUGUUUUUGCUAGAUAUGUAUUAAUAAUUAGAUUUAAAUUGGUAGAAAAAUUUUAAGAUGUAGUGUAAUAUGUAUAGAGAUUAUUUGACUUUGGAGCAUUGAGAAAUUGUGUAUAAAAGAUUAAAAUUUUAUUUCGGG